This 468-nucleotide ribosomal RNA is filed under the name uncultured bacterium. Its description in RNAcentral is "partial 16S ribosomal RNA". It matches the Rfam family "Bacterial small subunit ribosomal RNA", at positions 28 to 507 of the family's 1533-position model. The record is from RNAcentral.
GACGAACGCUGGCGGCGUGCUUAACACAUGCAAGUCGAACGGAAAGGCCCUGCUUUUGUGGGGUGCUCGAGUGGCGAACGGGUGAGUAACACGUGAGUAACCUGCCCUUGACUUUGGGAUAACUUCAGGAAACUGGGGCUAAUACCGGAUAGGAGCUCCUGCUGCAUGGUGGGGGUUGGAAAGUUUCGGCGGUUGGGGAUGGGCUCGCGGCUUAUCAGCUUAUUGGUGGGGUAGUGGCUUACCAAGGCUUUGACGGGUAGCCGGCCUGAGAGGGUGACCGGCCACAUUGGGACUGAGAUACGGCACAGACUCCUACGGGAGGCAGCAGUGGGGAAUAUUGCACAAUGGGCGGAAGCCUGAUGCAGCAACGCCGCGUGCGGGAUGACGGCCUUCGGGUUGUAAACCGCUUUCGCCUGUGACGAAGCGUGAGUGACGGUAAUGGGUAAAGAAGCACCGGCUAACUACGUG